Molecule: long non-coding RNA, 1329 nt
Organism: Canis lupus familiaris (dog)
Lineage: Eukaryota; Metazoa; Chordata; Mammalia; Carnivora; Canidae
Exons: 2
Source: RefSeq, a predicted model, not a curated record
AGCUGGCCAGCGGUCCUUGCCUGGCCAGAGAGCCAAAGCCUGCGCCCUCCGACGGGGCGGCCGGGGCAGGAGCCUUUCGCCCUGCCUGCCUGCCUCCGGACGCCCGCGGAAGAUGCUCCCCACCCGGGCAGGCUCGAGGAGCCAGGAUGGGGCGCCCUCACCCUGGGAGAGGGCAAGAAGGGAGCUGAGGGUCCGGGACGGAGGGACUCUCACCGCAGCUGCGCCGAGCGCUCGGCACCCCGCCCCGGACCGGGUCUCGGGCGGAGGCGCUCUGCACUGGGGCCGUCAACCGCAGCCAGGGACGGACAAAGCACCGGGGUCUGCGGCGACCCCGGGCGGCGGCCGCGGGCCAAGUUAGCGAGGCUCGGGGGCCGCGGGGGUCCCGCGGACAGGGCGGCGCGGCACUGACCUGGAUGGUGCAGGUGUACUCGCUGUCGUCCAGCAGCCGCACGGUGCAGCUGUACUCGCGCUCCAGGCUCCUGCUGCUGCCGCUCAUCAACCUGCUCAGCAUCUUCCCGCCCGCCCGCCCCCGGGAGAGACGCGGCGGCGCUGCGGACCCCGGACCAGGCGCCCCUCAGCCGGGCAGCUCCGCGCGGGCCCCGGGCACCUGCACCAUCACCCCAGCCCGGUCGCGGCCGCUGCCUCCUGCCGGCCCAGCUCCUCCUUCUUCUCCUCCUCCUUCUCCGCCACCGCCUCCCUCUAGCCCAGAGCAAGCGCCCCGCUCUCUCUCCUCCGCGCCCCACUCCCCAUGCCCAGCUCUUGGGGCGGGGCCUCGGCCGGAGAGGGGCCAAUGGGGGUCAGCGCGGCGGAACCGAGUGGCAGGCGGUAGAGCCAAUCGAAAUAGCGUACUGGGAUGAUGGACAGGUGACGGAAGCAAUCACGGGAAAGCAGUCGGACAGAGCCCAGCGGCACCAGCCCUCUGGCGUCCCAAACUAGGGGCUCUUCUCUGCUCUGCGGUUCCUGUAGAAGCUGUUUCCCCUCCCCCGGGCCAGAAGACAAAAGGAAGAGACUGAGGUGUGUUCCUUCAGCCAGUAGGGUGCAGAGGAAUUGAUGGGUCCUUUCCUUGCACCUUCAGAACUAGAAUUACCAUAUUUUCAGACUUCAUCAACGAAACACCAGAGUAUGUCAGGAGGUAUAUGUCUCAAAGAAAAAAAAAAUUGCUGCCCUUUGUGACCCCACAUCUAAAGAUCUUAUGUUCUUUACGAAAACUUCACCAAGAAACAUUCAAUAUUGAGUGACUCAAAAUUUGUUGAUGGAAGGAAAUGUUAUAUAAAAGAAUCAUAUCAACAUAACAUUAAUGCAGUAAUAAAUAUAUUAAUUGAAAAAUAA